UGGGGAAUAUUGCACAAUGGGCGAAAGCCUGAUGCAGCGACGCCGCGUGGGGGAUGACGGUCUUCGGAUUGUAAACCCCUUUCAGUAGGGACGAAGCGCAAGUGACGGUACCUGCAGAAGAAGCACCGGCCAACUACGUGCCAGCAGCCGCGGUAAUACGUAGGGUGCGAGCGUUGUCCGGAAUUACUGGGCGUAAAGAGCUCGUAGGCGGUUUGUCACGUCGUCCGUGAAAACUCGGAGCUUAACUCCG
RNAcentral lists this ribosomal RNA (250 nucleotides) under uncultured bacterium. RNAcentral describes it as "partial 16S ribosomal RNA". It matches the Rfam family "Bacterial small subunit ribosomal RNA", at positions 355 to 617 of the family's 1533-position model. The record is from RNAcentral.